CAUGGUUUAUUAGAUCGUGCGUUCUACUUGGAUAACUGUGGUAAUUCUAGAGCCAAUACAUGCAACUGGCCCUAACUUUACGGAGGGGCGCUUUUAUUAGAUCAAAAUCAAUCAGGUUUCGGCCUGUUUUUGUGAUGACUCUGGAUAACUUUGUGCCGACCGCAUGGCCUUGCGCCGGCGGUGUAUCUUUCAAAUGUCUGCCCUAUCAACUUUCGAUGGUAGGUGACAUGCCUACCAUGGUUGUAACGGGUAACGGAGAAUCAGGGUUCGAUUCCGGAGAGGGAGCCUGAGAAACGGCUGCCACA
This 305-nucleotide ribosomal RNA is filed under the name uncultured eukaryote. RNAcentral describes it as "SSU rRNA". It matches the Rfam family "Eukaryotic small subunit ribosomal RNA", at positions 111 to 414 of the family's 1831-position model. The record is from RNAcentral.